RNAcentral lists this transfer RNA (70 nucleotides) under Phrynosoma platyrhinos (Desert horned lizard). RNAcentral describes it as "tRNA-OTHER". The record is from RNAcentral. Lineage: Eukaryota; Metazoa; Chordata; Lepidosauria; Squamata; Phrynosomatidae.
GCCAGUGUGGCAUAGUGGUGUGAGUGUUCGACUAGAAUCUGGAGACCAGGGUUCAAUUCCCGCUUGGCCA